This 245-nucleotide ribosomal RNA is filed under the name uncultured bacterium. RNAcentral's name for it is "partial 16S ribosomal RNA". It matches the Rfam family "Bacterial small subunit ribosomal RNA", at positions 91 to 334 of the family's 1533-position model. The record is from RNAcentral.
UAAAGUGGCGACCGGGUGAGUAACACGUGACUAACCUACCUUCAAGUGGGGGAUAACCUCGGGAAACCGGGGCUAAUACCGCAUAACAUCUUUGGAGUGGAAAUUCUGGAGAUCAAAGGAGCAAUUCGCUGGAAGAGGGGGUCGCGGCUGAUUAGCUAGUUGGCGGGGUAAUGGCCCACCAAGGCUUUGAUCGGUAGCCGGCCUGAGAGGGCGCACGGCCACACUGGAACUGAAACACGGUCCAG